Molecule: ribosomal RNA, 406 nt
Filed under: uncultured bacterium
Lineage: Bacteria
Description: partial 16S ribosomal RNA
Rfam family: Bacterial small subunit ribosomal RNA
Source: RNAcentral
AUUGAACGCUGGCGGCAGGCCUAACACAUGCAAGUCGAACGAGUGGCGGACGGGUGAGUAAUGUCUGGGAAACUGCCUGAUGGAGGGGGAUCACUACUGGAAACGGUAGCUAAUACCGCAUACCAUCGGAUGUGCCCAGAUGGGAUUAGCUGGUUGGUGGGGUAACGGCUCACCAAGGCGAAGAUCCCUAGCUGGUCUGAGAGGAUGACCAGCAACACUGGAACUGAGACACGGUCCAGACUCCUAAGGGAGGCAGCAGUGGGGAAUAGUGCACAAUGGGCGCAAGCCUGAUGAAGCCAUGCCGCGGGUAUGAAGAAGGCCUUCGGGUGGUAAAGGACUUUCAGCGAGGAGGCGUUACUCGCAGAAGAAGCACCGGCUAACUCCGUGCCAGCAGCCGCGGUAAUAC